This 513-nucleotide ribosomal RNA is filed under the name uncultured bacterium. RNAcentral describes it as "partial 16S ribosomal RNA". It matches the Rfam family "Bacterial small subunit ribosomal RNA", at positions 28 to 523 of the family's 1533-position model. The record is from RNAcentral.
GACGAACGCUGGCGGCAUGCCUAAUACAUGCAAGUCGAGCGAACAGAUGAAGUGCUUGCACUUCUGACGUUAGCGGCGAACGGGUGAGUAACACGUAAGGAAUCUACCUAUAAGCGGGGGAUAACAUUCGGAAACGGGUGCUAAUACCGCAUAAUAUCUUCUUCCGCAUGGAAGAAGAUUGAAAGACGGCUCUGCUGUCACUUAUAGAUGACCUUGCGGUGCAUUUGUUAGUUGGUGGGGUAACGGCCUACCAAGACGAAGCUGCAUAGCCGACCUGAGAGGGUGAUCGGCCACCUGGGGACUGCGACACGGCCCAAACUCCUACGGGAGGCAGCAGUAGGGAAUCUUCCGCAAUGGGCGAAAGCCUGACGGGGCAAUGCCGCGUGAGUGAAGAAGGCCUUCGGGUCGUAAAACUCUGUUAUAAGAGAAGAACAAAUUGUAGAGUAACUGCUACAGUCUUGACGGUAUCUUAUCAGAAAGCCACGGCUAACUACGUGCCAGCCGCCGCAGUAA